RNAcentral lists this ribosomal RNA (492 nucleotides) under uncultured bacterium. RNAcentral's name for it is "partial 16S ribosomal RNA". It matches the Rfam family "Bacterial small subunit ribosomal RNA", at positions 29 to 507 of the family's 1533-position model. The record is from RNAcentral.
AGUGAACGCUGGCGGUAGGCCUAACACAUGCAAGUCGAACGGCAGCACAGUAAGAGCUUGCCCUUACGGGUGGCGAGUGGCGGACGGGUGAGGAAUACAUCGGAAUCUACUUUUUCGUGGGGGAUAACGUAGGGCAACUUACGCUACUACCGCAUACGACCUACCGCUGAAAGCAGUGGAUCUUCGGACCUUGCGCGAUUGACUGAGCCGAUGUCGGACUAGCUAGUUGGCAGGGUAAAGGCCCACCAAGGCGACGAUCCGUAGCUGGUCUGAGAGGAUGAUCGGCCACUAUGGAACUGAGACACGGUCCAGACUCCUACGGGAGGCAGCAGUGGGGAAUAUUGGCCAAUGGGCGAAAGCCUGAUAGAGCCAGGCCGCGUGGGUGAAGAAGGCCUUCGGGUCGUAAAGCCCUGUUGUUGGGAAAGAAAAGCUGUCUGCGAAUCCCCCGCUGUCUUGACGGUACCUAAAGAAAAAGCACCGGCUAACUUCGUG